UUGCUGUUUUUAACUAGUGAAUUAAGUUGUAUUGAACUUGCUGUUUGCAUGAUUUAACUUGUCUUUGUCUCUUUCAUUUCAGGUUUCCAAAUGCCAAGUUCUAACUUUUAGCACAUCUACAAGACCCCUACAAGAUCAAGAUUAUAUAUUAUGCUGAUCUUUCAAGAAGAAUAGGAUUAGAAGAUAAAAUCCUUCAUAUUUUUUGCUUCUUCUCAUGGUCAAAACUAUAUUUUUUGGUGAUUCUUGUGAGUGGGUUAUUUUUUUUUGUAUUAGAUGUGUGCUUUAAGAAACAACAAUUAUGAUAUAUAAUUUAACUUGGUAUUUAAUGUUUCUUUUGUAUAUUUUAUAAUUAAAAACUUACUAAAAAUUACUCCCUACGUAUACCCCCGAGUUUAUCCCGAUUUUUUAACAACUCGCUAGGUCCAGAAUCGCCGCAUGGAUAGCGCGUAGCGCGAUUCCGAAUAGGGGAUAAAACCAAAGAAGAUCGGCCAUCCUAUUUACUAGCUAAGCAACGAGACGAGUUAAGACUAAACAAGGUCGGAAGGCCGGAAAUAAAGUAGCCGGUUGCCACGAGCUACCGAGAGAUAGACGCCCUCAAAC
Molecule: long non-coding RNA, 600 nt
Filed under: Brassica napus (rape)
Lineage: Eukaryota; Viridiplantae; Streptophyta; Magnoliopsida; Brassicales; Brassicaceae
Description: long non-coding RNA (BNAP_LNC022539)
Source: RNAcentral